RNAcentral lists this ribosomal RNA (460 nucleotides) under uncultured bacterium. Its description in RNAcentral is "partial 16S ribosomal RNA". It matches the Rfam family "Bacterial small subunit ribosomal RNA", at positions 338 to 795 of the family's 1533-position model. The record is from RNAcentral.
CCUACGGGGGGCAGCAGUGAGGAAUAUUGGUCAAUGGACGAGAGUCUGAACCAGCCAAGUAGCGUGAAGGAUGACUGCCCUAUGGGUUGUAAACUUCUUUUAUAUGGGAAUAAAACGUUCCACGUGUGGGAUUUUGUAUGUACCAUAUGAAUAAGGAUCGGCUAACUCCGUGCCAGCAGCCGCGGUAAUACGGAGGAUCCGAGCGUUAUCCGGAUUUAUUGGGUUUAAAGGGAGCGUAGGUGGAUUGUUAAGUUAGUUGUGAAAGUUUGCGGCUCAACCGUAAAAUUGCAGUUGAAACUGGCAGUCUUGAGUACAGUAGAGGUGGGCGGAAUUCGUGGUGUAGCGGUGAAAUGCUUAGAUAUCACGAAGAACUCCGAUUGCGAAGGCAGUUCACUGGACUGCAACUGACGCUGAGGCUCGAAAGUGUGGGUAUCAAACAGGAUUAGAUACCCCUGUAGUC